GUUUCCUGGGCUACUACGAUGGCGAUGAGUUUCGAGUGGCCGUGGCAGUAUCGCUUCCCACCCUUCUUUACGUUACAACCGAAUGUGGACACUCGGCAGAAGCAGCUGGCCGCCUGGUGCUCGCUGGUCCUGUCCUUCUGCCGCCUGCACAAACAGUCCAGCAUGACGGUGAUGGAAGCUCAGGAGAGCCCGCUCUUCAACAACGUCAAGCUACAGCGUAUCCUCCCUCAGGCUCUUCCACAGCCCAUACACAUGCACUUCUGCGCUUUCACACAUGCCCAGACGCCCCCCCGCGCCAGCCCCCUUUUACCCAUGGUAGGCAGAUUCCCACCCAAACUGGACUUAAAGAGUGAAAAUGUGUAGCUGACAUUUUCCCCCGGCAAAUGCAGUACCAUACCCUCUUGUUCUUGGCAGUGAUGACUGCUCGGAUGUCAUUAAGGUCUUAGAAUUUCUGCCCUGAAGCCAAGUUCCAAGUUUUUUAACCUAAACCCUUUUGACUAUUUGUAUCUUCCAUCCUUUUCUGUGUGAGGCCCAGACUUGGGUAACUACCUUUAAUUAUUUUCUCUGCCCCCCUCCUGCCAGGAAGUAAGGGUCAUUUGUUUUUGCUGCCUGAUUCAUCCCUAAAAUAUCUGUGGAGAAAGGCUGAAGGAAGGCAACAGACAGAGGG
Molecule: small RNA, 667 nt
Filed under: Pan troglodytes (chimpanzee)
Lineage: Eukaryota; Metazoa; Chordata; Mammalia; Primates; Hominidae
Description: retained intron
Source: RNAcentral